UAGGGUCUGCGUCUGGAGCUCCGACAGGGUCGUCGUCAGCUUUGAGAGGGCGUGUUACUCGAUAGUAACUCCCAAAUGAAGAAGAGAUAAAAAGGAAGAAGCUGAAGGAUGAUGGGAGUAGGAAGGAAGAGAAGAAAAGAAGAAGGCAAAAAAACCAACCAACCGAACACCACUAUCACCACCAAAAAAAAAGAGGUGGAAAAUGAACAGGGAUGAAAGUUUCAAGCAGGUGGCUUUGGGGCCAUGAGCCCAGCCCCUGGCCAGCACACACCCCAGAGCUUUGUGGGAAUUACAAACAGGUGGACCUUCCUCGAGCUGGUGCAGACCUACCCAGGGCCGCCACGUGACUACCUGAGCACAGACCGGCUUCCAGUCCCCGGUGCACCCUUGUCUAGGCACCUCUGUGCCCACGGAAUGACACAAACGGACUAAACAACACAAUGAGAGGGCUUGGAAUGUUCUACCUGGUGGCGUGGCUGUUUCUGUGCACCCCACGGAUCUCAUCUCUCUGUAGCCAAGGCCGUGCAUUCGCUCCCCCGUGGCACCUAGCACAUAGAAUUAACUCGCCAUUUCUAAAAUGAAACUGACUUGCAGUACACGGAAACCAGACGGAAGGGGGGGCCCACAGGAACCCGUGCGUGGGCAGAGCAUCAGCAUCUCAGAGCACGAGAUCUGCAGAGUGUGGUAUCACCAGCGGGUCACUGCAAGCAAAGCGCACGGUCUGGAGGAGGAGUCCCUGCUGAGCUUGACCAGUGUUAGGGGGCUGGGCACAGAUCCAAGGAGAACGCCGGGCCCCAGGAGACAGUCUCCUCUGGAGUCCCAUGUCCUCCAGCUCAAACAAGAUGAACCUCUCGCCAAUUUUUAAGAUUUCCAGCAAAGGAGAUGAAGAGAUGGGGACCCAGACAAGGGGGAAGACCCUGUGGAGAUACGAAGAGAAGGUGGCCGAGGAAAGAGGCCUCAGAAGGAACCAGCCCCGUCUGCACCUUGAUCUCAGACUUCAGUCUCUACAAUGUACUUGAAAACAAAAUCAGCAGCCUCACACAAAUAAGAGUUGGACCAACAUUGGAAGUUCUGCCAUCGGGUGGACCCACAGAGCCCCAGAGAGUACAGUGGCUUCUGUCUACACGCAGGCAGCGAAUCCCCAGAAGAGACACCCGGCUGAAUGCCUGUGGAAAGCUUCUAAGCACCAGAUUCCUGAAGAGAUGCCUCUUUCAGGUGUCUUCUGAUAAAAGACUUUUCAGUGGGAGGCCCAGGCUUGCCUCUGUGCAAGAACCAGAAUUCUGAGGACGUUAGCUGCAUUAUUCCGCUCAGGCUGCCAUAACGAAGUACCUCACACUGGGUGUCUUAACCAACAGAAGUUUAUUUUCCCACAAUUCCGAAGGCUGGAAGUCCAAGGUCAAAGUGUUGGCAGGUUUUGUGUCUUCUGAGGACUCUUUUUUGGGGGGCACCUGGGUGGCUCAGUCAGUUAUGCAUCCAACUCUUGGUUUUGG
This is a long non-coding RNA of Lynx canadensis (Canada lynx), 1490 nucleotides long. RefSeq lists it as uncharacterized. The transcript has 8 exons. NCBI's taxonomy places the organism in Eukaryota, Metazoa, Chordata, Mammalia, Carnivora, Felidae. The record is from RefSeq and is a predicted model, not a curated record.